Molecule: long non-coding RNA, 497 nt
Filed under: Helianthus annuus (common sunflower)
Lineage: Eukaryota; Viridiplantae; Streptophyta; Magnoliopsida; Asterales; Asteraceae
Description: hypothetical non coding rna
Source: RNAcentral
UAAAAAUGGCAGAUGCAAUAGCAAUAGAUACAGGUUGCUUGGCGACUGCACCAGGCAAAACUUUUUUCAUCCAUAGCAGGUACUUUUGAAAUUCUAUUAUUUUGACUGCAUGUUUUUAGCUAUUAAUUUAUUGCAUUUAUCUUCUCUUGCUACAUAGGGAUAGUAUUUUUUUUGUUGCCAUUCCACUGUUCUUUAUGAUAAAACCACAAUUUCUGUGUUACUAUUGUUGAUAUCACAAUCUGCAGACAUAACAUUUGUUCUGAUAAGGGUUGUUAAAUGGGGCAAUGGGGCAAAACUUGGAAAAUAUAGAUGGUAUGAAAAUGGGUCAAACAGGUUGAAACACACAAUAAGAAGAUGGUUGUUCUCUUAAUCUCUUGUCUUGUAAGAUUGAGGGAUCUCCAAUUGUGGGUGCAAAAAAUAAUUAAUUUGAUGGUGAGCGAUACUUUCAUAAUGGCAGUGGGAAUAUAAUGAUUAUACAACAAAUAAGAUAGAAUUUU